GUCUGUGAUGCCCUUAGAUGUUCUGGGCCGCACGCGCGUUACACUGGUCGAGCCAACGAGUGUUUCCUUGGCCGGUGGGCCUGGGUAAUCUUGUGAAACUCGACCGUGCUGGGGAUAGAGCAUUGCAAUUAUUGCUCUUAAACGAGGAAUUCCUAGUAGAUGCUUUUCAUCAGAAAGCGUCGAUUACGUCCCUGCCCUUUGUACACACCGCCCGUCGCUACUACCGAUCGAAUGGCUUAGUGAGGUCUUUGGACUGCCUUGGCUUGGCUGGCGACGGCUGAACCCUGGCGGGAAGUCGAUCAAACUUGGUCAUUUAGAGGAAGUAAAAGUCGUAACAAGGUCUCCGUAGGUGAACCUGCGGAGGGAUCAUUGAUGGUUGACUUGUCUUAAUGGCAAUGUCUUCUCUUCCAUCCCUUGUGAAAAUUAAAACCUUUCUUUGGCUGAUGAAACAUCAUUGGCCAAAGUCUUUACAAGUUCUGGAGUUUUGCUUGUCUAUGACAAUUCUUUUAACAUAUGAAAACUUUCAACAACGGAUCUCUUGGCUCUCGUAUCGAUGAAGAACGCAGCGAGAUGCGAUACGUAGUGUGAAUUGCAGAUUUUUGUGGAUCAUCGAGUUUUUGAACGCAUAUUGCGCUCUCCGUUGAGGAGAGCAUACCUGUUUGAGAGUUGUUAAAACUUCUUCACUAGCUUUUUUGCUAAGUGGUGUUGGGCGUUGCUUUGUGCAAAGCAUUGUCUGCAAAUUGUUUGACUUUAUUUUGGUGAACUUGCGCAACAAGGAGUUUCAUGGAGACCGACUGUUGACUGAACACUGAAAAUGAAAGUCAUUAAGCUUGAAAUUAAGAGUUCAACCUCAAAUCAGGUAAGAAGACCCGCUGAACUUAAGCAUAUCAAUAAGCGGAGGAAAAGAAACCAACAGGGAUUCCCCCAGUAGUGGCGAACGAAGAGGGAAAAGCUCAACCUUGAAAUCGAGCGAGUUUCUCGUUCGAGUUGUGGGUUGUGGAGGUGCGGUCUGUUGGAACUUGGAUCCAAGUCCUUUGGAACAAGGCGUCAAGGAGGGUGAGAACCCCGUUUGUGAUCCAAUGCUUUCAACUUUGUGUCCCACCUUCUUAGAGUCGAGUUGUUUGGGAAUGCAGCUCAAAAUGGGAGGUAAAUUCCUUCUAAAGCUAAAUAUGGACGAGAGACCGAUAGCGCACAAGUACAGCUAUGGGCAGAUGAAAAGCACUUUGAAAAGAGGGUGAAAUAGUGCGUGAAAUUGUUGAAAGGGAAGCGUUUGGUGUCAGCCCACGGUGGUGAAGGGGCCCUCAGUCUCGGCUGUGGUAGCCCCUCGACACUGGGCCAGCGUCGGUUCUUGAGUGCGGGAGAAAGAUCACGAGAAUGUAGUUCUCUUCGGGGAGCGUUAUAGCUUGUGGUGUCAUACCGCCUUGGGGACCGAGGUUUGCGGUGACUCGUUCACCAAGGACGCUGGCGUAAUGGUUCCAAGCGACCCGUCUUGAAACACGGACCAAGGAGUCUAACAUCCAUGCGAGUGUUUGGGUGGAAAGCCCGUACGCGUAAUGAAAGUGAUACUGCAGGCGAGAACCGCAAGGUGCAUCGUCCACCGGUCCGGAGGUUUACCAAAGGAUCCGAGUAGGAGCAUGGCUGUUGGGACCCGAAAGAUGGUGAACUAUGCCUGAACAGGGUGAAGCCAGGGGAAACUCUGGUGGAGGCUCGUAGCGAUUCUGACGUGCAAAUCGAUCGUCUGAUUUGGGUAUAGGGGCGAAAGACUAAUCGAACCA
Molecule: ribosomal RNA, 1775 nt
Filed under: uncultured fungus
Lineage: Eukaryota; Fungi
Description: bacterial SSU rRNA
Rfam family: Eukaryotic large subunit ribosomal RNA (bases 846-1775)
Source: RNAcentral